GCACCUCCCUCCCAACCCACAUUGGGGACAGGACCGCGCCGGUCUCUCGCUCUCACCCUCUCUUCGUGUCAGUUUCUUCCUCAGCUCCUUCCCGAGCGGCCGGCGGCGCGGUACUGGAGCAGAUGUGAGCGUCGUUGUGCGGGACGACACCGACCCACGCACAAGGCUCUCCCUCGGCGCAAGGAGAACCAGGCAGUCCUGCUCAUGUUCCAUCGGCUGAGCGCCUAGCUGAAGCCCCUCCACCCGGCAGUUGUCACGUGGACAUCAUGCCAGACCUCAGCCUGCUCCUUUAUCUCCUGCUACUGCUCUUUGGCUCCCGCGCAGAUCCAUCGAUGCAGGAAGAGGAUCCAGACUUUAAUAGAGAUGAAGCCACAGGUUACGGGCCGGUGUUUGAGGAGCAGCCGGUGGAUACCAUCUACCCCGAGGAGUUGCUCGAGGACAAAAUCACCAUGAGCUGCCGGGCUCGAGCCAGUCCACCUGCCGCAUACAAAUGGAGGCUGGAAGGUGUAGAAAUCGACCUGAGCGCUGACCACAAACACUACACAUUGUCGGAAGGCAACUUGAUCAUCAGCUUCCCCGUUAAAAACCAACAUGAGGGGAGGUACUCCUGCUUGGCCAGCAACAAGUUCGGGACGGUCGUCAGUCGAGAAGCGUCGGUCCAGUUUGGAUAUUUGGACCUUUUCUCAUCGGAGGAAAGGGAGUCUGUGUAUGUCAAAGAAGGACAGGGGGCGGUUCUUCUCUGUGCUCCUCCUCCACAUCAUCCAGCCGACCUGUCGUUCCGAUGGAUCUUCAAUGAGUUCCCCACUUUUAUCUCGCUGGACAAAAGGCGCUUCGUCUCGCAGAUAACGGGCAACCUUUACAUCUCCAAAGUGGAGGCCUCGGACAGCGGCAACUACUCGUGCAUCGCGUCCAGCUCCUCCAUCUCCAAGAGUGUCUUCUCCAACUACAUCCCGUUGGUUCCCCUCAGAGAACGUUCAAUCAGGAAGUAUCCGGCUGACCUCAACGUCAAGUUCCCGGACACCACCACUCUGGCAGGGCAAAACAUCACUUUGGAAUGCUUUGCUUUGGGAAACCCCGUCCCAGAGAUCCGCUGGAGGAAAUUGAACGGAGAGCUGCCCCCCAAUCAUGAGGUGCGCAUGGCGGGGGCUCACCUGCAUCUGUACAACGUGCGGCCGGAAGACGGCGGCUCGUAUCAGUGCGAGGCCGUCAACUCCAAGGGAAAGGACUACCACAGCGCCCAUUUGUCCGUGGAAGCUUUUCCUGUAUGGGUGGAGCACAUCAGCAGCGCAGAGGCAGACCUCGGCAGCGCCUACGCCAUGUCAUGCUCAGCCAGCGGCAAACCCGAACCACGCGUCCGCUGGCUGAAGAACGGAGAGCCGUUGGACAGGAACGAGAUGACGUUCAGCAGCUUGACGUUUGAAGACUCCGGGAUGUACCAGUGCAUCGCUGAGAAUCCUCACGGGGUCAUUUUUGCCAACGCGGAACUGCGUGUGUUCGACUGCGCUCCCACCUUCGAACACAACCCCGUCAAGCAUGCCCUCGCUCCGAGAAACGGCCGCGUGGUGAUGGAGUGUCGACCCAAAGCCGCCCCCAAGCCCAAAGUCUUGUGGAGCAAAGACACCGAGCUGCUGUCCAACUCCAGCAGGAUGUUCAUCUGGGAGGACGGCAGCUUGGAGAUCCUCAACGUCACUCGCACGGACGAGGGCAAGUACACCUGCUUUGCCCACAACGACAGGGGCAAGGCCAACAGCACGGGCUCUCUCACAGUAACAGACUCCACAAAGAUCACCUUGGCCCCCUCCAACGCUGACGUCAAAGUGGGCGAAAACGCCCGGAUGCAGUGCGCCGCGUCACACGACUCCUCCCUGGACAUCACCUUCAUCUGGUCCCUGGACGGCCGAGUCAUUGACCUCGACAAGGACAGCCAACAUUAUGAACGCAGCCCGAAUGGAAGCUCGGAUGGCGAGUUGAUGAUCAAGAGCGCGCAGUUGAAGCACGCCGGGAUUUACACCUGCGCGGCACAGACGACGGUGGACAACGUCACCUCCUCUGCCAGCUUGGUUGUAAGAGGACCCCCCGGCGCCCCGGCGGGGGUGCGAGUGAUGGAGAAAAGUGACAAGAACGUCACGCUGCGGUGGAGUCGCGGCGCAGACAACCACAGCCCCAUCUCCAAAUAUACCAUCCAGUACAGGGACGCCUUCUUUCCGGCCGCGUGGAGGAACGCCACCACAUCUCCACCAGACGUUGAAGGCAACGCCGAGACGGCCACCGUGGUGGACUUGGUGCCCUGGACUGAGUACGAGUUCAGGGUGAUGGCCACCAACACAUUGGGCACGGGUGACCCGAGCGUCCCCUCUCGCAAAGAGAAAACCCUGCCCUCAAGUCCUGUGGUGGCGCCCUCAGAUGUGGGUGGAGGUGGCGGCGUGAACAGAGAACUGACCAUCACGUGGACGCCUGUCCAGGAGCAGUACUACUACGGGCCGAACUUUGGUUACAUCGUGGUCUUUAAACCUCGAGCUGGCGUCGAGUGGACACAGGUGAUCGUCUCUGACCCGCAGGCCAAGCGCUACGUGCACAAAGAUCCGUCCAUCGCUCCUGCAACCGAGUUCAUCGUGAAAAUCCAAGCGUUCAACAGCAAAGGGGAGGGACCCUACAGUCAGCCGGAAACCAUUUAUUCCGCGCAAGACGUGCCCACUGAUGCUCCUGGAAGCAUUGACGGGAAAGCGCUUUCUGCCACCGAAGCUGUUGUGUGGUGGUUCCCCAUCACGCAGAGCAACAUAGACGGAUACCAGGUGAAGUAUUGGCGAAAAAAAGAGGACAGUGAAGGUGGAGCCCACAGAGUGGUGGUGUCCGGCAGGGAAAACCAUACCAGAGUGGACGGAAUGAAGCCCGACUCCCUUUACCUCAUAGAGAUCCGGGGCUAUAAUUCUGCAGGCUACGGGCCGGCCAGCGAGCGCCUCGAGAUUCACACCAAGAAACCACCUCCAAGUCAAGCCCCAAGAAUCAUCGGUAAAAAAUUCAAGGGCAAGUCGGUAAACGUCGCCUGGGAACACGUGGCGACGAUGGCCAACGAGGCACCGGUAGACGGUUACAAAGUGCUGUACAGACCCCAGGCCCAAUCCACAGGCACGCUGUACAUGACCAGUCGGCGGCACAUUGAACUCCCCCUCUUUGAAAACGAGACCUACGUGGUGGAGGUCCGAGCGUAUACCGAGGGUGGCGAUGGAGCGGUGUCCCAAAUCUUCAUCACGGGAGGAAGUGUCAUGGCCGCCCGGCCUCUCAGCACCCUCGGCCUGCUAAGCCCCAAGAAUCAUCGGUAAAAAAUUCAAGGGCAAGUCGGUAAACGUCGCCUGGGAACACGUGGCGACGAUGGCCAACGAGGCACCGGUAGACGGUUACAAAGUGCUGUACAGACCCCAGGCCCAAUCCACAGGCACGCUGUACAUGACCAGUCGGCGGCACAUUGAACUCCCCCUCUUUGAAAACGAGACCUACGUGGUGGAGGUCCGAGCGUAUACCGAGGGUGGCGAUGGAGCGGUGUCCCAAAUCUUCAUCACGGGAGGAAGUGUCAUGGCCGCCCGGCCUCUCAGCACCCUCGGCCUGCUCCUGGUGGCCAUUCUCUGCCUGAACCUCUGAAUGUAGCGACAUCUUUUGUCUUCAUCUCCACGUGAAGGACCCUCUUUUACGGUUGACAACCUACUUUGUAGAAGGACUUUUUUGGGACUCUUUCCACAAUCGUCGUUCGGUUCCACUCAUUCCAACUCUUCCCCUUUUCCGGAAGAUUCUUUUGGGAAUAGACGGAAACACACGGAAAUGGGCAAUCCCGUAUUUAUCCACCAAAAGCCUCUUUGGAGGUGUAUCAAAGGAGCUCUGUCGACUUUUUGAAAAUAUGCCUUAUGUAAAUGUCUGCACUUAUCUUUCACAAGGAUGUCUUUCAAAGCACAUCGGUCCUUGGACAACUGUUUUUUUUUUUUCUUUGAUACAAACAAAAUAAUCCCCCGAUGCACCCCCCUAUACUUUUGAGCUCAACAAUAAUCUGUGAAGGAUAAGUGCACGCGUUUGCGAGUAUCUGUACACUGUACAUGUCUUUCUUACCUGCGCUUCAGCUCCGUUUCCGCGUUUGUUUUCGUCGCAAAAGUGAAGCAGAGCCCCGGUUAAAGCGGAUACAGUCAAAGCAAAGCUCAACCCGCCCCAACUUUUGACCGACGUCUUCGGGUCAAGGCCGUAUUUCCUUAUGUAGUGGCCAGAGAUGCCGAGAGUACCGGGCUUCUAUUAGGCGUAAGGCAUUUACUCGGAGGAGGGCUUUAAGUGUACAAAUUAACCUUUAGAACAAUAAUGUGUAUAUUUCUAAUCACAUUCAAAUAGCGAUACUCGGUAAUUUAAAUGCUAUUUAUCAGAUUAAAUAUAUAUCGUAUAAUAUUUCGCUUUCUUUCCCCCUCAAUUCUGUUUAGCAACAUUUGAUGGGGAGGUCGUUGUUCAGCUUUAUGGCGGAGGGCGUUUAUUGGGGGCGUGGUGUUUUGGUGUUUUCAUUUUUUUUGGAGUGGACGAACAAUUUCUGUGAGCGUUAAAGCUACUAUUUGAGGAAAUGCGGUACUUUAAUGAAUUCUAUGCUGCCCCCUUUUCCAAUUACAAUUCGGUAAAGCUCUUUUCUGUUCCCAGAUGAAUGGGCUCCCGGGUGCACUAAGAAAGGCCAUUUUUUAUUUUAUUGAUUUCAAAUUGUACUUCCCGUAGGUGUAUUGACCAUCUACUUUUGUCUUUCAAGUGUACUUAAGAGUUGCAGAAAAUCGUCUGCUCUUUGAACGUCGGCAAAGUUUCGGCUGAGAUGAACGAUACUAGCCACGGAGGUUUAUCAAGCGAGUCCUCAGCCACGAGCAGAGAAGGCUCUCAACAUGCUGACACUGCCAAACAAACUGUUUGCUGUAACGCUACCAAGUGGAGAAGCACAAAAACAGAUGCCUUGGAUUGCAGAGCGAGCGCGGACAUUAUUAUCAACACAGGAAAAGUCAUCUUCGGUCCUGGCAUGUGACUCUUGAGUGACGUGAAUUUAUGACACGCAAGCGCUUCGAAGGCUUUGUUUUGGAUGAGAGCCACUCGCUUUAGCAGCUAGCAGUUUUAACAACUGGGACGGAAUCGACCGAGCCGAUAGCUCGUAAAGCUUGUCGUUCGGUCGUGUUUUGCGUUCGGAAGAAAACUGGAUUGGCCGAUUGCUUGAGACUGAAGCUAAUGCAAGACGCUGACCAUAUCUCCAUGUUUGUUGGCUCAAACUGUUUUUGCUUUGGCUGUAUCAUGAAAAAAA
Hippocampus comes (tiger tail seahorse) is the source of this 5296-nucleotide RNA transcript. It is a transcript of the gene named contactin 1a, with no coding region annotated. Lineage: Eukaryota; Metazoa; Chordata; Actinopteri; Syngnathiformes; Syngnathidae. The record is from RefSeq and is a predicted model, not a curated record. The transcript has 26 exons.